This is a non-coding RNA of Vicugna pacos (alpaca), 596 nucleotides long. NCBI's taxonomy places the organism in Eukaryota, Metazoa, Chordata, Mammalia, Artiodactyla, Camelidae. The record is from RefSeq and is a predicted model, not a curated record.
UCCGCCUUUGGCCUGAGUGAAGUCAGCUUGGUGCUGUCGCCCUGGUCAGAAGGGCUCAGCUGUCACCACGUGUAUCUCUGGUGAAGAACGGGGGUCUUGACAGAAGAUUAAGUUUACCAGCUUGGGGGGUGGAGGCGCUGGAAGAAUGAUUCAACCCCCACAGUGCCACUUCGGCACCUGCUACAGCUCCAGCAGGCCCGGGCCUCUUGUGGAAAAUGGGUGACCGUGGCUGUUUCCGGGAGAACAAGGGUUCAGGGUCCUGAGAGCCCAGCCACACUGGCCCGUGUCCUGGGCCCAUGGCCAGAGAAGCCAGCAGGUGUGGACGCCCUGCAGGCACUGACACUGUUUAUCAAAGCCCCUGGCUGAGCCUUCACACACCCCUUCUUCCAGGGCCUGGCCUCCCUGAGACACCACAGCCAUGCUCCUCUCUCUCCCGAAGCGCCAGGCGGAGGGCUCGGGCCACCUCCAAAGGGCCGCAGGAACCGGGACACCUUGGAGCGCAGCAGUUUGAUGAAGGACCGUGGGAACAUCUCCUUGGACUCCUGGGCUGUGUACUUGAAGUAGUUCUGGGGAUGUGCCAGCACGUCGAAGAGGGC